UACGGAGGAUCCGAGCGUUAUCCGGAUUUAUUGGGUUUAAAGGGUGCGUAGGCGGCCUGUUAAGUCAGGGGUGAAAGACGGUAGCUCAACUAUCGCAGUGCCCUUGAUACUGAUGGGCCAGAAUGUACUAGAGGCAGGCGGAAUGUGACAAGUAGCGGUGAAAUGCAUAGAUAUGUCACAGAACACCAAUUGCGAAGGCAGCUUGCUAUGGUAUAAUUGACGCUGAGGCACGAAAAGCGUGGGGGAUCAAACAGG
This 255-nucleotide ribosomal RNA is filed under the name uncultured bacterium. Its description in RNAcentral is "partial 16S ribosomal RNA". It matches the Rfam family "Bacterial small subunit ribosomal RNA", at positions 524 to 776 of the family's 1533-position model. The record is from RNAcentral.